UACGUAGGGGGCGAGCGUUAUUCGGAAUCACUGGGCGUAAAGCGCACGUAGGCGGCUUCUUAAGUCGGUGGUGAAAUCCUGGAGCUCAACUCCAGAACUGCCUCCGAUACUGAGGGGCUCGAGUCCGGGAGAGGUGAGUGGAACUGCGAGUGUAGAGGUGAAAUUCGUAGAUAUUCGCAAGAACACCAGUGGCGAAGGCGGCUCACUGGCCCGGUACUGACGCUGAGGUGCGAAAGCGUGGGGAGCAAACAGG
This 253-nucleotide ribosomal RNA is filed under the name uncultured bacterium. RNAcentral describes it as "partial 16S ribosomal RNA". It matches the Rfam family "Bacterial small subunit ribosomal RNA", at positions 524 to 776 of the family's 1533-position model. The record is from RNAcentral.